AAAUGAAUUGACGGGGACCCGCACAAGCGGUGGAGCAUGUGGUUUAAUUCGAAGCAACGCGAAGAACCUUACCAGGUCUUGACAUCCUGCUGACCGGACCUUAACCGGUCCUUUCCUUCGGGACAGCAGAGACAGGUGGUGCAUGGUUGUCGUCAGCUCGUGUCGUGAGAUGUUGGGUUAAGUCCCGCAACGAGCGCAACCCUUAUCUUUAGUAGCCAGCGGUUUGGCCGGGCACUCUAGAGAGACUGCCAGGGAUAACCUGGAGGAAGGCGGGGAUGACGUCAAAUCAUCAUGCCCCUUAUGAUCUGGGCUACACACGUGCUACAAUGGUGACUACAAAGAGAAGCAAAGUCGUGAGGCGAAGCAAAUCUCAAAAAGGUCAUCUCAGUUCGGAUUGUAGUCUGCAACUCGACUACAUGAAGCUGGAAUCGCUAGUAAUCGCGAAUCAGAAUGUCGUGGUGAAUACGUUCCCGGGUCUUGUACACACCGCCCGU
Molecule: ribosomal RNA, 494 nt
Filed under: uncultured bacterium
Lineage: Bacteria
Description: bacterial SSU rRNA
Rfam family: Bacterial small subunit ribosomal RNA
Source: RNAcentral